Molecule: ribosomal RNA, 668 nt
Filed under: Rhizopus arrhizus
Lineage: Eukaryota; Fungi; Mucoromycota; Mucoromycetes; Mucorales; Rhizopodaceae
Also listed under: 1 other name
Description: LSU rRNA
Rfam family: Eukaryotic large subunit ribosomal RNA
Source: RNAcentral
GCGGAGGAAAAGAAAAUAACAAUGAUUUCCCUAGUAACGGCGAGUGAAGAGGAAAGAGCUCAAAGUUGGAACCUGUUUGGCCUAGCUAAACCGGAUUGUAGACUGUAGAAGUGUUUUCCAGGCAAGCCGAGUAAAUAAGUCCUUUGGAACAGGGCAUCAUAGAGGGUGAGAAUCCCGUCUUUGGCUUGAGCAUUUGCCUUUUGUGAUACGCUUUCAAAGAGUCAGGUUGUUUGGGAAUGCAGCCUAAAUUGGGUGGUAAAUCUCACCUAAAGCUAAAUAUUGGCGAGAAACCGAUAGCGAACAAGUACCGUGAGGGAAAGAUGAAAAGAACUUUGAAAAGAGAGUUAAACAGUAUGUGAAAUUGUUAAAAGGGAACCGUUUGGAGCCAGACUGGCUUGUCUGUAAUCAAUCUAGGCUUCGGCCUGGAUGCACUUGCAGGCUAUGCCUGCCAACGACAAUUUGACUUGAGGGAAAAAACUAAGGGAAAUGUGGCCCACUUGUGGGUGUUAUAGUCCCUUAGAAAAUACCUUGGGUUGGAUUGAGGAACGCAGCGAAUGCUUUUUGGCGAGUUUUCCAGGAAGGUUUUCUGAGGUACUACGGUAUCAAGGUUGAUCUUUUUGGUUAUACUUCUAUUCGCUUAGGUUGUUGGCUUAAUGACUCUAAAUGAC